UGCUGCAAUGCACAUUUCCUG
RNAcentral lists this non-coding RNA (21 nucleotides) under Caenorhabditis elegans. Lineage: Eukaryota; Metazoa; Nematoda; Chromadorea; Rhabditida; Rhabditidae. The record is from RNAcentral.